RNAcentral lists this long non-coding RNA (1091 nucleotides) under Phasianus colchicus (ring-necked pheasant). Its description in RNAcentral is "lncRNA (ENSPCLG00000012427.1)". The record is from RNAcentral. Lineage: Eukaryota; Metazoa; Chordata; Aves; Galliformes; Phasianidae.
CUUUCGCCUUGCGGGCAGUGCCCCCUGGGCCGCGGCGGCGUGGGAAGCCGUCCUCGGCAAGAAUAAAAUGAAGCGGUUUUAUCCGUAGCCGGUCCGAGAAAUGUCAGGCGGGCCUCGCGGAGUCGUCGUGAAGCUCGGGCAGCCGAUGGCCAUUGGCUGAUUUCAAAAUAACGUGCGAGGCUUCGGCACUUUGCCGCCGAGAUGUUCAGUCCAGAAGUUGUUUUGUUGUUAAACGAGCUGACAGUAAGCCUGUUUUCUUAUUAAGGGCCAAAAGCGUAAUUCCUGGUAACUGAGGAGAUGUGACGCGGGGCCUCUGAGCGCACGCACUGCACCCACAGCGGUGGGAUGUUUUCAGGUGGCGAAGCUUCCUCCUAAUAAUGGAGCCUGCCCCAGGGCUGGCUGCUGCGAUGCUGACUGGCUCACACCAGGGAUUAAUUGGAGCCGUUUUCCUUUCCCUCUUAAAAAUGGAAGGUCAAAAAUAAACACGGCAUGCCUACACAUCUGGUGAUCGAGAGAUUUAAUUUGAGAGGCCGGAGCUUUGUUCUCCACAACUGCGUGUGACCCGACUUCCAGCUUCUUUGGUUCUCAGCAUGAUUCUGGGCUGUGCCCAUCUGAGCAGCAAAGCCAUUAACCCUUUGGGACUGCGCCAUCUAAUUCAGAAAGUGUGUUCCUGUGAUUAAUUCAUGCAAAUAAGCUGAAGCCCCCUUGCUGCUUUUUCUAACACUGUUACCUGACGCUAAGGUGUUAAGAUUUGAUCAGAUAGCAAAUGCAUCUUGGAGCUGAUGUGUGAAAAAUGCUGUCUUUUCAGGCAGAGCCUAGGAAAGGUUGGACGAGCUGCUCUCCUUGUGUUCUGGAAAUCAGCUUUCUCUGUCAUUGAACCCAGUGACAGAAGUCCUAUGCACUCCUGUGGGAGCCUGUGUAAGGAUGCAUAUAUGCAAUGGGAGGGUAUAUGUUAUUAUGAACUGCAGAGGAAAUGCAAUUGGAAAACUGUGUGUGUUGUGGUUCUUCCUAACGCAGUGGGAAAAUGCCUGUGUCACAGGAGAACUUGCCCAGUCCUGUACAUAAUGCUGAUGUUCCACAAACAGCUUUGA